RNAcentral lists this ribosomal RNA (440 nucleotides) under uncultured bacterium. RNAcentral describes it as "partial 16S ribosomal RNA". It matches the Rfam family "Bacterial small subunit ribosomal RNA", at positions 338 to 795 of the family's 1533-position model. The record is from RNAcentral.
CCUACGGGAGGCAGCAGUGGGGGAUAUUGCACAAUGGGGGAAACCCUGAUGCAGCGACGCCGCGUGUGGGAAGACGGUCCUCUGGAUUGUAAACCACUGUCCCCAGGGACGAAGAUGACGGUACCUGGGGAGGAAGCUCCGGCUAACUACGUGCCAGCAGCCGCGGUAAUACGUAGGGAGCGAGCGUUGUCCGGAAUUACUGGGUGAAAAGGGAGCGUAGGCGGGACUGCAAGUUGGGUGUCAAAUCUACCGGCUCAACCGGUAGCCGCACUCAAAACUGCAGUUCUUGAGUGAAGUAGAGGCAGGCGGAAUUCCUAGUGUAGCGGUGAAAUGCGUAGAUAUUAGGAGGAACACCAGUGGCGAAGGCGGCCUGCUGGGCUGUAACUGACGCUGAGGCUCGAAAGUGUGGGGAGCAAACAGGAUUAGAUACCCUAGUAGUC